AUUGAACGCUGGCGGCAUGCUUUACACAUGCAAGUCGGACGGCAGCACAGAGAAGCUUGCUUCUUGGGUGGCGAGUGGCGAACGGGUGAGUAAUAUAUCGGAACGUACCGAGUAAUGGGGGAUAACUAAUCGAAAGAUUAGCUAAUACCGCAUAUUCUCUGAGGAGGAAAGCAGGGGACCUUCGGGCCUUGCGUUAUUCGAGCGGCCGAUAUCUGAUUAGCUAGUUGGUGGGGUAAAGGCCUACCAAGGCGACGAUCAGUAGCGGGUCUGAGAGGAUGAUCCGCCACACUGGGACUGAGACACGGCCCAGACUCCUACGGGAGGCAGCAGUGGGGAAUUUUGGACAAUGGGCGCAAGCCUGAUCCAGCCAUGCCGCGUGUCUGAAGAAGGCCUUCGGGUUGUAAAGGACUUUUGUCAGGGAAGAAAAGGCUGUUGCUAAUAUCGACAGCUGAUGGCGGUACCUGAAGAAUAAGCACCGGCUAACUACGUG
RNAcentral lists this ribosomal RNA (490 nucleotides) under uncultured bacterium. Its description in RNAcentral is "partial 16S ribosomal RNA". It matches the Rfam family "Bacterial small subunit ribosomal RNA", at positions 30 to 507 of the family's 1533-position model. The record is from RNAcentral.